This 253-nucleotide ribosomal RNA is filed under the name uncultured bacterium. Its description in RNAcentral is "partial 16S ribosomal RNA". It matches the Rfam family "Bacterial small subunit ribosomal RNA", at positions 524 to 776 of the family's 1533-position model. The record is from RNAcentral.
UACGGGGGGGGCAAGCGUUGUUCGGAAUUACUGGGCGUAAAGGGCGUGCAGGCGGUUGGGUGUGUCAGAUGUGAAAUCCCGAGGCUCAACCUCGGAACUGCGUCUGAAACUACUCGACUAGAGUACUGGAGAGGGUAACGGAAUUCACGGUGUAGCAGUGAAAUGCGUAGAUAUCGUGAGGAACACCAGAGGCGAAGGCGGUUACCUGGACAGUUACUGACGCUCAGGCACGAAAGCACGGGGAGCAAAAGGG